ACCGAAUAGAUACCCAGGUAGUCCUAGCCCUAAACGAUGAUCGCUUGGUGUGGCGGGUAUCCAAAUCCUGCCGUGCCGUAGCUAACGCGUUAAGCGAUCCGCCUGGGGAGUACAGUCGCAAGGCUGAAACUCAAAGGAAUUGACGGGGGCCCGCACAAGCGGUGGAGCAUGUGGUUUAAUUCGACGCAAUGCGAAGAACCUUACCUGGGCUCGAAAUGAAGUGGACCGGGGUAGAAAUAUCCCUUCCCAGCAAUGGGCUGCUUUAUAGGUGCUGCAUGGCUGUCGUCAGCUCGUGUCGUGAGAUGUUGGGUUAAGUCCCGCAACGAGCGCAACCCUUAUCUCCAGUUGCCAUCAUUCAGUUGGGCACUCUGGCGAAACCGCCUCGGAUAACGGGGAGGAAGGUGGGGAUGACGUCAAGUCCUCAUGGCCUUUAUGUCCAGGGCUACACACGUGCUACAAUGGCCGGUAUAAACCGCUGCAAACCCGCGAGGGGAGCUAAUCGGAAAAAGCCGGCCUCAGUUCGGAUCGCAGUCUGC
Molecule: ribosomal RNA, 536 nt
Filed under: uncultured bacterium
Lineage: Bacteria
Description: bacterial SSU rRNA
Rfam family: Bacterial small subunit ribosomal RNA
Source: RNAcentral